This is a long non-coding RNA of Lactuca sativa (garden lettuce), 666 nucleotides long. RefSeq lists it as uncharacterized. NCBI's taxonomy places the organism in Eukaryota, Viridiplantae, Streptophyta, Magnoliopsida, Asterales, Asteraceae. The record is from RefSeq and is a predicted model, not a curated record.
GGUCGGUGGCGUUAUAAAUAGAUACGUUCUUUCACUCGUCCCGAUAUCAACAAACCAAACCCAAUUACCGAUAGCCUAACUCCCUACCCAAACAUCGCCGUCCUUCUCCGGAGAUAUACAAAACCAUCGUUUCAGAAUCAGAUACACAUAGCCUUGUUUUCCAUCAUUCUGUUAUCGAAAGACCCAAACACUCCAUGAAAUUAUCAACAUCUCUAAUGUGCAUCUAUCAGAAACAAACCCCCCUCAAGAGAAAUGGUUUUGCAAACAUCACAAAAACACUCUAUGAAAUGAAAUGUGUGGUACAACAUUUAGGAGUUGAUCUAAUAGAUUAGAUAGCAAAAUGUUGUAUUCGCAUUGUUUAUAAUCCAGAUAAAUGCGAUCUUGUUGCAUCUGCUUUAUGCAACAAGAUAACAUGUAUCUAGCACAUGCAACAAGGUCACAUUUAUCAGGAUUAUAUACAAUCUGAAUGCAAUGUAUUGCUAUCUACUCUAUUGUAUCACCUCCUAAAACUCUAUGCACUACAAAACUUUGCCACAACUAUAUUGAAUAGCUUUGGUGUAUAAAGAGCCUAUGAUUUCAACACAAUUGGCUUCAAAAACUAACCAGACCAGACUGUUAUUGUUUGUGAUAAGGUAAUUAUAGUUGUAGUAAAUUACAUUUUUGGUC